UCGUAACAAGGUUUCCGUAGGUGA
This 24-nucleotide non-coding RNA is filed under the name Drosophila melanogaster (fruit fly). The record is from RNAcentral. Lineage: Eukaryota; Metazoa; Arthropoda; Insecta; Diptera; Drosophilidae. RNAcentral also lists the same sequence under 2 other names.